This 451-nucleotide ribosomal RNA is filed under the name uncultured bacterium. RNAcentral describes it as "bacterial SSU rRNA". It matches the Rfam family "Bacterial small subunit ribosomal RNA", at positions 328 to 793 of the family's 1533-position model. The record is from RNAcentral.
UGGCCAGACUCCUACGGGAGGCAGCAGUGAGGAAUAUUGGUCAAUGGGCGGGAGCCUGACCCAGCAACGCCGCGUGAAGGAAGAAGGCUUUCGGGUUGUAAACUUCUUUUCUCAGGGACGAAGAAAGUGACGGUACCUGAGGAAUAAGCCCCGGCUAACUACGUGCCAGCAGCCGCGGUAAUACGUAGGGGGCAAGCGUUAUCCGGAUUUACUGGGUGUAAAGGGAGCGUAGACGGCAUGGCAAGUCAGAUGUGAAAGCCCGGGGCUCAACCCCGGGACUGCAUUUGAAACUGUCAGGCUGGAGUGCAGGAGAGGUAAGUGGAAUUCCUAGUGUAGCAGUGAAAUGCGUAGAUAUUAGGAGGAACACCAGUGGCGAAGGCGGCUUACUGGACUGUAACUGACGUUGAGGCUCGAAAGCGUGGGGAGCAAACAGGAUUAGAUACCCGAGUAA